UACGUAGGGGGCUAGCGUUGUUCGGAUUUACUGGGCGUAAAGCGCACGUAGGCGGAUCGUUAAGUGAGGGGUGAAAUCCCAGGGCUCAACCCUGGAACUGCCUUUCAUACUGGCGAUCUUGAGUCCGGAAGAGGUGAGUGGAACUCCUAGUGUAGAGGUGGAAUUCGUAGAUAUUAGGAAGAACACCAGUGGCGAAGGCGGCUCACUGGUCCGGUACUGACGCUGAGGUGCGAAAGCGUGGGGGAGCAAACAGGGAUUAAGAA
RNAcentral lists this ribosomal RNA (263 nucleotides) under uncultured bacterium. RNAcentral's name for it is "partial 16S ribosomal RNA". It matches the Rfam family "Bacterial small subunit ribosomal RNA", at positions 524 to 784 of the family's 1533-position model. The record is from RNAcentral.